Molecule: long non-coding RNA, 2029 nt
Organism: Scylla paramamosain (green mud crab)
Lineage: Eukaryota; Metazoa; Arthropoda; Malacostraca; Decapoda; Portunidae
Exons: 9
Source: RefSeq, a predicted model, not a curated record
UCUUUCCAUACCACACACACACACACACACACACACGCACACGAACGUUUCCCUAAGGGCUCUCCUUGACACACAGAGAAAGGCUGGUAAUUCUCUGUUGAUCAUUAGCUACAGUAUGGAAGCCUCUGUUAUACUUGGAUAUCUCUGUGGAGUAUUGUUGUUUUUUAACGUCAAAUGGUAAAUACUUAAUAAUGAUAAGCUGAGAUAUAACACAGUAUUAAGCCAAGCCUUCAAUUCACACAAGCUUUUCAAUGAUUUCACAUUACGCCACACAAGGGACGAGACAUUGCAGUGCAAGACCCGCCAGGACCAGUUUGAAUUUGGCGCUUCAAUCAGUAACAUCUAGAUACUUUGACAAUUACAGUUAUAAUGGCCUGAGAUUUAUUUUUACACGCUUAUAAUUCUUUAUAUUUAAUUUUCUAUUAGUUUAGUAUAAUAUAAAAGAAGUUGGUGCUUGUUAUUGAAAGCUAAAAGUGUCUUGUGGAUAGGUUGGCUUGCGUACUGUGCGGAGCAGGCUGGGACGGACGACACAACCAGACGUCAGACACAAGGCACUAGGUUAAAAGGGUGCCAUAAACUGGUGCUUUAUUUAACGUAUUUUCGCAGAACAAGACAGUGACAGGGGCCGUGGUGGGUGCCUGCGUGUGCUGGUGCAAGCUUGGUGCCUGCCGGGAGGUGCCUGCAGUGCCACAAGGGAUAAUAUUGAUACAAAUGUAGAGGGGCGAAAUAGAGAAGCAGGAAGACCACCACCACCACCACCACCAUCACCAGCAGUGUGGAAGAAAGCUGGUGAUAAAACUCUCUCUCGCUCUCCCUCACUCUCCCACGCCACGGAAGCAGUGGAAUAAAGCACAGGAGGAGGAAGUGAGAGGAUAAUGAAGUUUGGAAGUUUGUGAUACAGCAACGGCAACCCUCCGAUCCGGCAAGCAAGUUGGCGGCAGCGAUGGCGGUGGCGGCGGCAGUGGUGGUGAGGUGGACGGCAGGGACAGAGGGGCAGUACAGGCUGCGGACAUCAAGGAGAAGAGGAACGCACGGACAAGCAAGGUGUUAUUCGGCAGUCUGAUCCUGGACCUGCUCGGCUUGAAGGUGGUGCUGCCCGUGUCUCCUGCUCUCCUCGACUGUUACUCCAAGCACAACACCAGCGGCUUGUAUUCCUCUCAGCUCUCCUGUGUGACUUAUUACCAGCAUAUCAUCGGUUUCGCUGCAAGGUUCCAUUCUGUCUUGUUUGGCACUGAUUGGCGUGACAUUCAGCAUAGGCUUCACCGUCGGGCACACUGUGGGGGCUGCGUUCUCCCGCUGGGGAAGUACUGGGUGGUUCGCGGCCUCGGCUGUCUACGCACGCACUCUCACUGUGGCUAACAUAAUAUUCUUUGCUGUCUUCUUCCAGGAAUCGCUGCCUGAGGGCAGAAGGAGGAGGGACAUCGGUGCCAGUUUGACCGAGGCUUGGGAGGUGAUCAAUCCUAGGGCUCUAUUCUCCGUCAGCUGUGUCAAGGGCCUGGGCAGAGAAGCCUGGAGUUAACGCUGAUCUUUGCAACCCACCACAAGCAUAGUUACGACUCGUUGGCGCAGGACCGCAAGUUUUCCUUCCUGGGCCUGGUCAUGGCAAUUACACAGAGAGGGUUUAUGCGAAGUGUUAAGACUGGAACUGAAAAAGCAACUGCCAAUUAGGCACACACCUACAUUGUGAUGCAGCUCCUUGGAGGUGGAGAGCUGGCUGCCUCAGAGGAUCAGGAAACACGAGAGGUUCACAGAGGCUCGCCUCGGGCUUCGGUCGUCGUGAGGAACCUGGUGUCAGCAGUUCACUACGUGCACAGGAAAAGCAUCAGUGUUCACGGAGACCUAAAGCCAGACAGGGGUGAAAAGGGUUGGUGUUGAGGAUAGACAGAAAAGAAAAGAAAAGAAAGGAAAGGUAAAAAAGGAAGUUUUUUUGCAUUGAUUUUCCAUCUGCUUAUUUUAAAGAAUUUAUUGCAUGGAAUAUUAUUGAUCUCCAUCAUUUGUAUGGCCUUUAUAAUAAAAAGUAUGAAUUUAU